RNAcentral lists this ribosomal RNA (348 nucleotides) under uncultured bacterium. Its description in RNAcentral is "bacterial SSU rRNA". It matches the Rfam family "Bacterial small subunit ribosomal RNA", at positions 337 to 677 of the family's 1533-position model. The record is from RNAcentral.
UCCUACGGGAGGCAGCAGUGGGGAAUAUUGCACAAUGGGCGCAAGCCUGAUGCAGCCAUGCCGCGUGUGUGAAGAAGGCCUUCGGGUUGUAAAGCACUUUCAGUGGUGAGGAAAGGGUGAUAGUUAAUAACUAUCACAGUUGACGUUAGCCACAGAAGAAGCACCGGCUAACUCCGUGCCAGCAGCCGCGGUAAUACGGAGGGUGCAAGCGUUAAUCGGAAUUACUGGGCGUAAAGCGUACGUAGGCGGUGUGUUAAGCUAGAUGUGAAAGCCCCGGGCUCAACCUGGGAAUAGCAUUUAGAACUGGCACGCUAGAGUCCUGAAGAGGGUGGUAGAAUUUCCAGUGUA